UACGUAUGGUGCAAGCGUUAUCCGGAUUUACUGGGUGUAAAGGGAGCGCAGGCGGUGCGGCAAGUCUGAUGUGAAAGCCCGGGGCUCAACCCCGGUACUGCAUUGGAAACUGUCGUACUAGAGUGUCGGAGGGGUAAGCGGAAUUCCUAGUGUAGCGGUGAAAUGCGUAGAUAUUAGGAGGAACACCAGUGGCGAAGGCGGCUUACUGGACGAUAACUGACGCUGAGGCUCGAAAGCGUGGGGAGCAAACAGGAUUAGAAACCCAGUCCGGCUGACUGACU
RNAcentral lists this ribosomal RNA (281 nucleotides) under Roseburia faecis M72/1. Its description in RNAcentral is "partial 16S ribosomal RNA". It matches the Rfam family "Bacterial small subunit ribosomal RNA", at positions 524 to 814 of the family's 1533-position model. Lineage: Bacteria; Bacillati; Bacillota; Clostridia; Lachnospirales; Lachnospiraceae. The record is from RNAcentral.